Cavia porcellus (domestic guinea pig) is the source of this 1813-nucleotide RNA transcript. It is a transcript of the gene named alpha-1,3-mannosyl-glycoprotein 4-beta-N-acetylglucosaminyltransferase C-like, with no coding region annotated. The transcript is spliced from 2 exons. Lineage: Eukaryota; Metazoa; Chordata; Mammalia; Rodentia; Caviidae. The record is from RefSeq and is a predicted model, not a curated record.
UUGGCGCCUCACUGUGUGCCUUGCAGCAAUGAAAUUGCUGUCCACAGCACAGUCAUGUGGUCCACAACAGGGUGGCUGUUACUGAUCACAAGAGGAGCCACAAGGGGGUGGCCAUUGACCGUGAGAUCCAUCCCAAGAUGGCGGCACCCUUUCACAUGGCAGAGGGCCGCAACAUGAUGACGGUCCCUGGCACAAGCUGCAACAGUCACGCGGCUUGCCGGAAAGAUAUAGUGACCGAGACCUAGUAUGGUGGACUGGAGAACUGCUGACCAUAGGGAUUUCCUCGGUGCUGCGUCCCCAAAAGAGCUACCUCCUGGACACCCUACAAUCUCUCUUCUUUGCUUCUUCCUCAACUGAGCAGAAACACUUCAUCGUUCUGGUACACCUGGCAAGUCCCAACCCCAAGUGGCUCAGUCAAAUAACCUCCAACAUCUCAACCCUCUUUAAACCACAUAUCCAGGCCAGAAAGCUAGUAGUGAUCAACACAUCUGGCAAAAGCUACCUUCCUCUGAAGAACCUCAGGAAAAGGUUUAGUGACAGCCCUGCCUUUGUAGCUUAUAGCUCCAAGCAGAACAUGGAUUAUGCCUUCCUCAUGAACUUUGCUACCAACUACUCUGACUACUUCCUGAUGAUUGAAGAUGAUGUGAAAUGUGUCCCUGGAUUUUUCACCCAGAUUGCUAAUAUAUUGUCUGCCUGGGAAAGAAAGUUUUGGGUGACUCUGGAGUUCUGUCCACAAGGCUUCGUUGGAAAACUCUUUCAUGCUAGCGACCUCCCCUACUUUGUUCAUUUCCUUCUCCUCUUUUACCAAGAAAUGCCUUGCGAUGACCUCCUUUCCCAUUUUCUUAAUCUUCUCAGGCAGCAAAAACGAAUCCAAUUCUCCCCCUCCCUCUUCCAGCAUAUAGGCAAUUCCUCCUUGAAAAGCAAAUUGAGUGGCCUCAAAGAAGCGGAGGAAAACUAUAUCAGCUGUCCCAGCAAUCCUGCUGCCACCCUUUAUACUAACCUGAAAAUCACCAAUGACUCCAGUGACUCCAUUCUCAUGAAUGCCUACAGCUUGGAUAAAAAUUAUGUUUAUGUCAAGGAGGCAAAAGCUGGCAGCUAUCUGACUGUGCUUUUGCACAGACCUGCCACAGUUUUUCAUGUUCAAGUACUCACAGGCUCUGAAUCAGAACAGGAGAAUCAUUUGGAAGAGGGACAAGUGGAAAUAGGAUAUGAUUCCACCAACAGAGUCACUGAGUGUGAUGACUAUAUUCUCCUGGGGAUGCUAGUAAAUGGCACCCUGAAUAAGCAUGUGUUAUCUGAAGACUCAGGGAAGAAGGUAAAAUGUGUAAGGCUGCUUGUAACAGCCACUCAGACCUCUGGAUUAAUAGUGAGGCACAUCAACCUCUGGGUGAAAUAAAGUUUAAGUAGGAUAAAGAGAAGCCAUUAGAAAUUCUAGAUUGGAGGUAGAGUCAACAGAGUUAACAAAGCAUUAAGCUCUUAAAGUUGUGAGUAAAAUUUCUUUCCUGGGCCUUUUCAGGAUUCUUAAUACAUUACAUUGAAAGGCAGAGUGAAGGUAACAUCCUCUUGGUCCCAGAGACUUAGGAGUGCGAAGAGGAAGCUUGUUUAAUUUUUUUUUAAUAUUCUAUCCCAAUGUGUCUACCAUUCAAAAUUUUUUCCUUGGAGCAAGAAUGCCAGAUUUCUAAAAAUAACAAGGAUAUGUGAGUGAGACUAACUGAUGCUGAGAUCAUGAGUUCAAUAACACAUGAGAGAAAAUUAAGCAAAGAAAUGGAGUCAUUAGAGGCUGGACUUCCUACAUGAAAGGAGAAAGUAAAUU